AGCGAACGCUGGCGGCAGGCCUAACACAUGCCAGUCGAACGAACCUUUCGGGGUUAGUGGCGGACGGGUGAGUAACACGUGGGAACGUGCCUUUAGGUUCGGAAUAACUCAGGGAAACUUGUGCUAAUACCGAAUGUGCCCUUCGGGGGAAAGAUUUAUCGCCUUUAGAGCGGCCCGCGUCUGAUUAGCUAGUUGGUUGAGGUAAUGGCUCACCAAGGCGACGAUCAGUAGCUGGUCUGAGAGGAUGAUCAGCCACAUUGGGACUGAGACACGGCCCACACUCCUACGGGAGGCAGCAGUGGGGAAUCUUGCGCAAUGGGCGAAAGCCUGACGCAGCCAUGCCGCGUGAAUGAUGAAGGUCUUAGGAUUGUAAAAUUCUUUCACCGGGGACGAUAAUGACGGUACCCGGAGAAGAAGCCCCGGCUAACUUCGUG
Molecule: ribosomal RNA, 434 nt
Filed under: uncultured bacterium
Lineage: Bacteria
Description: partial 16S ribosomal RNA
Rfam family: Bacterial small subunit ribosomal RNA
Source: RNAcentral